UAGGUGAAGGAAUAUCAAAGGGAAAGGAGAUAGCUAGAGAUUAGAAGAGGAAAAGAAAAGAAGAAUUCAAGAAAGGUUUGGUGUUUUAAUGAUUUUCUGUUUUCCUUUGAUUCUGCCAUGAAUAAGUGAAAUUAGGGGUUGAUUUUACUUGCUGGAAAUGUUGCUUUGAUUGUAUAAAUAUGUUAUAUGAAUGUUAAAAUGAUGUUUGAAAGGCUUAGAGUAAAGAAAUUUAACAUGGGAGCAAAAAGUGUAAAUCUGGCAGAAUAGGUUGUAACAGGACAACUUGUGUUACUAACUUCAUAACUUAUUGUGUCUAUAUUGAAAUUAGGCCUAAGAUAUACCAAAUGAAAGCUA
This 354-nucleotide long non-coding RNA is filed under the name Manihot esculenta (cassava). RNAcentral's name for it is "long non-coding RNA (MESC_LNC001250)". The record is from RNAcentral. Lineage: Eukaryota; Viridiplantae; Streptophyta; Magnoliopsida; Malpighiales; Euphorbiaceae.